This is a non-coding RNA of Flavobacterium fryxellicola, 77 nucleotides long. NCBI's taxonomy places the organism in Bacteria, Pseudomonadati, Bacteroidota, Flavobacteriia, Flavobacteriales, Flavobacteriaceae. The record is from Rfam.
CCCUAGCCCUGAUAGUAGUGUAAAUCCUUUUAAUCGCCGCAGCGAAUAAAAGAUUGAAACGGAUAGCAGGAAACAGC